AUAUAACAGGUGGCAUGGCUUCGGUGCUGCGGAAUCGCCUGUUAUCAACUCAUCAACGGUUUUCAUUUCCCUUAUCCGUUUGAGUGAU
This is a small RNA of Firmicutes bacterium CAG:227, 88 nucleotides long. It matches the Rfam family "RAGATH-35 RNA". Rfam says of the family: Clostridium (Firmicutes). The record is from Rfam. NCBI's taxonomy places the organism in Bacteria, Bacillati, Bacillota.